ACAAACUUCUUCAAAUCUCUAACUUUCUCUGCCUCAAAAUUCACCUAACUCGAACUUAACAAAACAAAGACACGAAGGCAAAGAGAGGUGCUUCUACAUGUUUCUUUUACCUCUCUUCAAGCAUCUGUAGCUGUAGGAGAGUUCUCAGGUGUCUUCGAAGUCGGAGCUGUUUCAAUUGGUUUACUGCCCUUAUGUUUGUCAACAGCUACACGAAACUCUUCCACGAUCGUUGGGUCUUUGAACUUGAGUGCAAAUGUAGAGAGACCAUCUCUGCCUUCACCAUUCACACAGGCGAAUGUGAUUCCUUUCUUGUCCAUGCUUGCAAGUUUCAUUUGAGGGUAGAGACUCGCGUUUAAGAUCAACCUGUAGUUCCCUUUAGCUCUCAUGACCAGCCUUGCUUUACCACUGUUGCUUGAGACGUUUUGUUGUCAUUCUGCUCUUCUUUGGCUUGGCCUAUCUCACUCUUUAUCACUCACGGCCAGCUUCCCUCUGUUUUGUUCACUCUAUUUGUUACUUGUGUUUCAUCAUCCAAAAGCACACUCACUCAUAACACAAGCUCACACUCUCUCUUUACUCUCUAACGUUUCUUUUUUGUUUGUAUAGAGAGAAGAGAGAACACUUUGUAUGUCUACAUCUUUUAACUCUUUUUCAUUAAUUCUUCUUCAGACACAACCAUACAUACUUAUAGUAGAUUUCUCUACUAACUCCACUUACUCUCCCUUACACUUAUAGCUUUACCUACUCCCACUUGUCCAUGCCUCUAUAUUAGGCCAUGGACUAAUUCUACAAGCAAACUUAUCUUAUUCUAACAACUUCAACUUAACUUAGUUAGCUUAGCAACUAGCUAGUUAUCUUAUUCUUCUUGUUGAGUUUUCUUCCUUGACUUCUUGUUCUUCUUCCUUUCUUAAAACGUAUUUAAACUUAAAUAAUAUAAGAUAUAACCCAACAACAUAUUUAAAUUGACUUUGCAGUUAUGUUAGUUCGGACAAUUGUCAUUGGACGGACACUAGUGCUUAAAAACCCUAAACCAAUAAAAGGCCGGCCCAAACGAGAUUAUUGUUAUACAAAUAACUUGGCUUUCUUCUCUCUCAAGUCUCAACUCUCCAGGGAAAUAAGGCGCCGCUGUUUCAACUUCCCGAUGGCGAGUUCUAGCAUAGCUAAUUCACUGGGUAAGCGAAAGCCGGAAGAUGAUUUGGACACUGAACCGGUUCUGAGGAGACAUAAAUCCGAGGCCAAGGAGACAAGGAGUGAAAGCCAGGUCGAGUUGCUGGAGACAAAGUCUGAUGAGUCAGCUUUAAACUCAGCCAUGGUAUAAUAAUUUCUGUUAGAUACUUUUAAUAUAUCGUAGUAUAACAAGUUUGUGUUCUUACUCUUGUUCUUAUUCAUUGUAACAGGAGACAAUUGAAGGACUUGAUGAAGAUCCAGAUUUUGUUGAGGUAUCUCUUCUUUAAUAUCUUGAAAAGCAAGUUAAAGUCCUUUUCUCCUUAUAGUCUUGCUUGCUGCUAACACGCUUUGAUCCUAAUAAAUUCAGGAAGCUGCAGGACCACCUAAUAAGAAGCUCUUUCUUGACAAACUCUCUAGCGAAACUGAAAUAUCAGAUGUGUAAGUAGAACCCCUUCAGUUUCCACUUUGAUCAAACUUACUUUUCAUAGACUGAUAUAUAUCCUCCAUUCCAUUUUGCCAGCAUCGAUUUCUUCAAAGAUGUUGGACAAGUUGUUGGUGUUCGACUUAUGCUUAACCACAAGGGCGGCCGUGUGGACAAACGUGUGGGCAGGCGUGUGGAAAAUCGUCUGGGUUUAGGCUUUGUUGAAUUUGCUUCUUCUGACGAAGCUAAGAAGGUGAGAGGAGUUUAAUAGUAAUAUAUGAUUAAAAGUAUUUUUAGCAUCUACUUAUGAUGAAAUCAUGCUAGGCGCUGAAAAUGAAGACCGGUGAAUAUUGGAGCCGUAACAAGGUUUUUCUUAAAGUGGCUGCUAUAUCCCUUCCACCCAAGUAAAUUGAUUUAACUUUCUGCUGGCGUUUGAUGCCACUACACAAGUUUAACGCUAUUUUUUUUUCUUGUUUAUCAGGUAUUGCGUAGAUAACAAUGUGUGGUAAGGGUUUUUUAACUAUUAUUUGUUAUCAAUGGAGUACAUUGAAAUUUCACAAGGUUUUCUGAUAUUCCAGGUACGAAGACUACCUUCAACGGGAAGGCCUUCUGAUAGAAGAAUUUGCCGCAGUGGAAGGACUUGAUGAAACUCCUGAGGUACCUCUUGUUAUUUUCUUCAAAAAAUUUCAGACUCAUUUGGCUGUCAUGCUAACACACUCUCCUGCUGACUUCAGGAACCUGCCAUACCAAAAAAGACGCUCUUUGUGGGCCGUUUCUCUCCCCAAACUAAACCAAGAGAUAUGUUAGUAGCACCUUUAGUUUCCUUUUUUCUAUCUCUGGAAAAGUUUUUGCUAACUGAUAUCUUAUCCUGACAGCAUCGAUUUCUUCAAAGAUGUUGGAGGAGUUUCUUAUGUUCGACUUAUAGGAGACCACACGGGCAAGCAUGUGGGCUAUGGCUUUGUUGAUUUUGCUUCUGUGAAUGAUGCAAAUAAGGUGAGAGCUUAGUUUAUACUACUUAUGAUAGGUAGUCAUUUGAAUUCAAUUGCUUAUAAUCUCUUUCAUACUGCAGGCGCUGCAACAGAAGAAUGGUGAAUAUUUGCACGACUGUACAAUUUUUCUUGAACUGGCUAAUAAUGGAGCGACGUACCUUCCACCCAAGUAAAUUGUGUUUUUUUUGUUUUGUUUCUGUAACACUUCUUUUAUCCUAUUGCUCGAGUUUUGAUACCAUUACAGAAGAUUAACGCCUUCUUUUCUUUUAUAUAAAUAUAAUUAGGUAUUGCCUAGAUUACAAGGUUUGGUAAGGACUUUUAACUAUUUACCUCUUUGAGUUUGUUAUGAAUAAUAGCACAUUGGUUUAAGUUUUUGAUAUAAUAUUUCAGGUUCGAAGAAAGCCUUCCGGUUGAAGGACUUGAUGAAACUCCCGAUUUUGCUGAGGUGCCUCUUCUUUAUUAUCUUCAAAAUUUGUCAGGCGAUUAAUAACACAUGUGUUGCUAACAAACAUAGCUGUUAAAUUCAGGCAACUGUCGUACCAAAGAAGACUCUCUUUAUUUCCCAUCUCUCACACCAGAAAACUAUCAUAUCAGAUAUGUAAGCAAAAAUUUCCUCUUUGAGUUAGUUUUUCAUGACUUAUAUAUUUUGCCCUCCAUUUCGACAGCAUCGAUUUCUUCAAAGAUGCUGGGGAAGUUGUUCGGGUUCGACUUAUUCUAGACCAGUAUGGUGAGCAUGCGGGCUUUGGCUUUGUUGAGUUUGCUUCUUCUAACGAAGCAAAUAAGGUGAGAGUAGAAUUUAUUUACCUAGUCAUUUGAAAAUUGUACAAGCCUUUUCUUUUUUUUUUUUGAAAAUACGAUUGCUGAUUAUCUUUUAUCAUGUAGGCGCUGCAACAAAAGAAGGGUGAAUAUUUGCACAACCACAGCAUUUUUCUUGAUGUGGCGAAUAAUGAAUUUGCAGAGAACCUUCCACCCAAGUAAAUUGAUUACUGUUUUAAGGAUUUUGUUUUUGUAAAACCAUUUGCUUAAGUUUAGAUGCCAUUAACGCUAUCUUCUUUUCUUUUCUUUUUUUGUUAAUUAGGCAUUGCAUAGAUCACAAGGUUUGGUAAGGGUUUAACCACUUGUUUUAAAGAGCACAUACGUUUUUGUUACACAUGGAGAGUUCACACGGGUUUAUUUUUGAUAUUCCAGGUUCAAUGAAGACUUGCUUCAAAGUGAAAGUUUUAUGAUAGAAGAAGAUAAGACGACACCUCCGGAUUUUGCUGAGGUAACUAUUCUUAUCAUCUUCAAAAUAUGAUAUGUCAGGCUUCAGAAGAAACGCUUAGCGUUUAGUAACACAACUGUUGCCGGGGAUGAGUUUGUUGUUAUGCAGUUCAAGUCCUUUUCCUAUAAAGAUUCGUGCUUGCUAACACAAUUGGUUGUUAAUUUCAGAACGUACUCCUUGUUGCCAACCUCUCUCCACAAACAACUAAAAUAUCACAUAUGUAAGUAGCAUCUUAAAUUUCCAUGUUGCUUAAGUUUUUCAUGACUGAUAUUUUUUAAUCCUCUUCAUUGACAGCAUCAAGUUCUUCAAAAAUGUUGGAGACGUUGUCAGUGUUCGACUUAUUGUUAACCGCGAGUGUAAGCAUGUGGGCUAUGGCUUAAUUGAGUUUGCUUCUCCUUAUGAAGCACAGGAGGUGAGACUAGUUUUGUUUUAAUGAUGAAAAAGGUAUUAAAACUUAGCUGAUAAAUUUUUUUUUAACUGUAGGCGCUGAAAAUGGUGAAUGGUGCAUAUAUGGACGAUCAUAAGAUUAUGUUGAUGAAAGGACUUGAUCAAACUCCCGAUUUUGUUGAGGUAGCUUUUCUUAUGAUCUUCAAAUAUUUCAGGCUUAAAAGAGAUGCCCAGAAAGUCUAAAGAUGACUUAUUCUGUGGAUGAGUCUUGUUUUUGUUAUGCAAUUGAAGUGCUUUUCUCCUUUUGAGUCGUGCUAACACACUAGGCUGUUAAAAAUUCAGGUAGUUGCCACCUCAAGAAGUAAGACGCUCUAUGUUGCCAAUCUCCCUCGCGAAAAAACUGAAAUAUCACAUAUGUAAGUAGCACUUUUAAUUUGGGAGCAAGUCUUUCAUGACUAAUGUUUUUUCCUGACAGCAUCGAUUUCUUCAAAGAUGUUGGAGAAGUUGUUCAUGUUCGACUUAUUUGCAACCUCAUGGGCAAUCAUGUGGGCACUGGCUUUGUUGAGUUUGCUUCUGCUGAUGAAGCAAAGAAGGUGAGGAGUUUAUUUUAUUUUAAUGACUAAAAGUAUUUUAGUAGUCAUUUGAAAGUUUGAUUGCUGAUAAAAAUUCUCUUUUACUUAGGCGCUGGAAAAGAAAAACGGUGAACAUUUUCACCGUCGCAAGAUUUUUCUUGAUGUUCCUAAGAAGGCUCAAGGCCGAUUCAAGUAUGUUUAUGCAAACCUGAUUCCAACUUGUUGCUUGAGUUUUUGAUUCAGAAGACUAACGCUAUUAUUAUUGUUGAUUAGGUAUUGCAUUGAUCACAAGGUUUGGUAAGGAAUUUAACUAAAUUUGUUAUGAGCACUUUGGUUAUAGUUGUUUCUAUACAUUGAUAGAUGAUACUUUUUUUUUAUAUUGUAGGUACGAAGACUACCUUCGACAAGAAAGCCUUUUGAUAGGAGCUGACGAAACUCCCGAUUUUGCUGAGGUACCUGUUCUUGUUAUCUUUCAAAUUAUGUCCUGCUCGUAGGCAUUUAAUAACACAACUGUUGUCACAAAGUCUAAAGAUACUUAUUGGUUGCUAAAUACAGGAAAAUGUCGUUCGAAGAAAGACACUCUUUGUUGCCAAUCUUUCUCACGACAAUAACAAAUUGCAGAUUUCAAAUAUGUAAGUAGCACCUUUAAUUACCUAUUUCGUUCUUGUAGCAAGGUUUUGACGACUGAUAUUACAACUUUCAUUUGUACAGUUCCAAAAUCUUCAAAGAUGUUGUACAAGUUGUCCGUGUUCGACUUAUUGUAGACCACUGUGGUGAGCAUGUGAGCUGUGGGUUUGUUGAGUUUGCUUCUGCUAAUGAAGCACAGAAGGUGAUGAGACUACUGAUGAAAAAUAGUAUCUGAAAGUAAGAUAUGCUGAUUAAAUCUUCUUAUCCUGCAGGCGCUACGACACUGGAAAAGAAGAUGUAAGCUUAUUUUCCACGAGGCUGAAAUAGCUGCUACGUACCCUUUCCAACACAAGUAAAUUAAUGUUCCCUAUGUAGAUUUGUUUCGCUAACGCAUUGCUUUUGUGUUGAUGUCAUAACAAAGUAUUAACACUAUUGUUUUUGUUAAUUAGGUACAACCUUGCACAAAAGCUUUGGUAUGUGAUUUAAGUAUAUGCAUUUUUAGUUUUUGUUAUCAAGAGUCUGAUAAGGGGGUUUGAUAUAUUCCAGGUACGAGGACAAGCUUAGACGAGAAUAUUUGAAGACCUCCCCGAAUCUGAAGAUCGCCUCCACUGACAAGUGAUAGAAAAAGAUGAAGGGCUCUUUGGAGUUUUUACGUACAGUGGCAACUUAGUUUAUAACUUUUUAUUAUCAGUAAUGUUUAAAUGCCUUACUUUGAUCUCUCACUGCAACGCUCAGGUUUUUUAUCACUAUGACUUAUCGUUUUCCUUAUAACUGUCCGCGACAAGAUAGAGUUUAGAUCAACUGCUUUUCUCACACUGGGAGACCAGCCCCGAAUACCAAAUAACUUCUAAAAGUUCUCAUUACCCCUUGUCUUUUCUCACUAUUCUUUGUUUAGAGCAUUUUUAACUCUUUGCUGUUAUCACUUCUAUAAUAGUAUUUGGUGGUAAAAGUUUGAGAAAAAGACUAGGAUAGCACCAAACCAAGUUUUUGUUCCCAAAGUAGCACUCAAGGCUCAAAGUCACAAAAAUAAGUUUCAUUAAAGAGGUAAAUAUACACUUAUACCCCUUGGGUUAAUUAAUCAAAACCUUAGGGUUUAGAGUUAAUGGUUGGGGUUUUGGAAUUAGGGUUUAAAAUUUUAUAAAAAAUAAAUACUAAAAUAAAAAAUAAAAUUUUAAAAACAGUUUCAAAAAAUAUUUUUAAAUUAUAAAAAGAAAAUUUGAAAAAAUAAAAAAAAAUUUAAAAACCAAAUUUCAGAAAAAAAUUUAUAAAAAUUUCGAAUCUGAAAACAUAUAAUCUGAAACUAUAAAAAAAAAUUCUUUUUUUUAUUUUUUUUAUUUUUAUUUUAUUGAUUUAUUUUUAUUUAUUUUUGUUUGUUUAUUUAAUUUUAAACCAAGGGUAUUAGGGAUAUUUUAUCUUUUAAUGAAAGUCAUUUUUGUGAUUUUCUCCUUCUAGUGCUAUUUUUGAGACAUAAACUUCAAAAUGUGUUAUUAUUGACAAUUGCCCUAAAAGUUUUCUAAUCCACCUUUAUUUCUUCUUUUGAAAGAAAAAUUGUUUUUUCUACUGUUUAUAGAAAAAAAAUAUAACAUUUCUCUAUUUUAUAUUUUAGGACCCGUGCGUUGCACAUGUUUUAUUUAAUGUUUUAAUACACAAACACAUAAAAAGAAUGAAAAUAUUUUUUUUAAAUUAGUUCUUGGAUUUUUUCAUUAUGUAUUGGUCUUAUUUUAGUAAUAAUAUUUUGUUUCUUACAUAAAUUUUGAUUCAUAUUUCUAUUUCAGUAAUCAUGGUGUUUUAAAUAGCAUAUUAAUAUUUUUAUUUUUAAUAUAUACUUCACUUUUAAUUAUUUUUCAAAAAUAACAAAAUUUAAAAUGUUAAAAUUACACAACAUCAGUCAAUAUGUAUUAUUCAUAGUCAGUUAAAUAUCAAAUAUAUUGCUAGAUAAAACAUAAAAUUUGUUUACUUUAACAUCCAUGGUGUGACUUUAACCUCUUUUUUAUAUAUAAUAUUUUAUUGAAACUUUUUUAUAGAUAUUUUGUAGUACACAACUGUCGUUAUGUUUUAAAAUUUGAAGCUCUGUAGUUGUAGCGACUAUGUGAUAUGUGAUGUAUAAUUGUAAGACUGAACUUGAUAAAUAUAGACCACCCUUUUAAACUUUGAUCUUAAUCUUGUUGAUAGUCAUUGCAUAACAAACUUGUAUAGGAAAUUGACGUCAUUUCGGUUUGAAAAACCAUCUUACAUCUGCAUCUGUUGGGUAUAAGACUUCUUCUAGGAAUAAAUUAUUUUUCUUUCAGCUAACUUCCGGUUAGGAUUUCUUCUCCAUAGUCAAGUCAUGUUGUCCAUUGCAAAGUCCUUCUCUUUUAUUUAAAUUUCUUAGUAGCAGGACCUACAACAUUUCAUUGCAAAGUCAUUAUCUUUUAUUUAAAUUUCUUAGUAGCAUAACCUACAACAAAAUAACCAAUUUUAUAUUUCGACAAAAACAAACACACAUAAGCAUAAUAGUCAUAUUAACUUCCCCCAUUAACUGACGCACAACAACAUGUACAAACGUAUAAGUAUAACUGAGGCAAUAACUAACGUACGGUAGUAUGACAAUUAUAUUUUUUUUUCUUUAAGAGAUCAACAUCAGUUUAAUGUGAAAAUCAGGAUAUCUAGUUAUUUCCUCAAGAUGUGACGCCCCCCCCAAAAAAGAGUAGAACAUGCGAAAAUGUAAAAGAACAUGCAGAAAAACUCAUUUAGUAUUUUUCUUGUAUCUCUAGUUAUUAUGUUUGGUGUCAAAGUAUGAGAAGUGACAAAAUAUGAGAGUGCUUAAUCACAUACAUAGAUGUGAAUAACUGUAAUUCCUUUUGGUUUAUGAUUUAAAAAAAUAAAAAAAUUAACUAUUAAAAUAGGAAAGUUGAUUAUUCAUAGAGAAAUUUGAAAUAAUUAUUCUACAAAUCUUUUUUUAUUAGGAUUUGAAGAAAGAAAAACUACUAUUAAACAUUCUUUUACAGUUUUCUUAUGUUUAAGCUUUUAGAAAAGGAGAAUUAGUAUCAAAUAAUAUUUUACAAUUAUAUUUUCUUUAGAAAUUUAGAAAAGGAAAAUUAGUGUUAAAUAAUUUUUGACAAAUAUUUUUAAAAAGGAAAAAGUAGAGAAAAUAUUAUUAAAUAUUUAAUUUAAAAAAAAAAUUCUAUCGUCUUAUUAUAUUUUUAUUAAUCAUGAGAUAUUUUAACACAUGUCAAUUUUUUUUUUUGAAAGAAAAUUACUAUCAAAUAAUCAUGAGAUGUUUUUUCUCUAUUUUUGCCAUGCUUGCAAAGUUUAGUUUAUGAAAUCCUUUUGUAAACAUUUUCAUUUAUAUGAUAUUAACAGUUAAGCAAAAAAAAAACUGUAUCAAAAUCUAACUAAAUUUGUUUUUAUAAAUGUCAAUCAAUAUAAAUAUUAACCUAAAUAGAUUCGGAUUCCUGAACUUUAUAAACAUUUUUUGUAUAUUAUUAUCUUUUGUUGAACUAUUAAAUAUUAUUUAACAACAAAACUUAAUCUCUUUCGUAAUUAAAUUUAUGUAUAAGUGUACAUGUCCUUAGGCAAAUAUUUGUUUUCCAACAAUGUAUACUAUCAUUUCUCUUAAGGGAUGACAAAAUUAUUAAUUACCAACAUUGGGCUUACAAGUUACGAGUAAGAGAAUUUGAAGGUCACAUUCCAGAAAGCUUGGGCCUAGGCCCACUAAUAGUAAGUGACAUGUGAAUGUUUAAGGCCUAUAUUAUCUCGCACUGAUUUUAGCAGUGUAGGUGGCUGGUCUGUUUCGGUCUAGUCCGGUCAAGUUGUAAAACCUAUCUCUCCUACUCUCAAGAACGACCUUACAAAACAGGAUCAAACACAGAUAUAAGGAGGCAUACAAACGGUUCAUAUAAAGAGAUUAAGAAGCAAAUAUAAGUCUCAAGGUAACCCACAAAGUCUCAACAACUGUAGAAAAGAAACAACAACACAACAAACUUCUUCAAAUCUCUAACUUUCUCUGCCUCAAAAUUCACCUAACUCGAACGUGCUUCUACAUGUUUCUUUUACCUUUCUUCAAGCAUCUGUAGCUGUAGGAGAAUUCUCAGGUGUCUUCAAAGCCGGAGCUGUUUCAACUGGUUUACUGCCCUUAUGUUUGUCAACAGCUACACGAAACUCUUCCACGAUCGUUGGGUCUUUGAACUUGAGUGCAAAUGUAGAGAGACCAUCUCUGCCUUCACUAUUCACACAGGCGAAU
Molecule: long non-coding RNA, 9643 nt
Filed under: Brassica rapa (field mustard)
Lineage: Eukaryota; Viridiplantae; Streptophyta; Magnoliopsida; Brassicales; Brassicaceae
Description: long non-coding RNA (BRAP_LNC003990)
Source: RNAcentral